UCUAUUUAUUUGCCCUCCUGGAAAAGAGAAUGUAUUUCGAGAUGUCAAAAUAUUUUGUUCUCCUUCAUUCGAUUGCAAGAGGAGCCUUAGGUGAGGAUCCUGCUUUUCAUGCUGGCUGGUAUUUGAACUUUGACUGGCAUUUUCCUGGUGAUUGUGAGGUGCAGGUGGAUGGAAUGCUGAACUGAAGGCACAGGUAGGUGCUAAGGGGUCCCUGAAUAAUAAGGUCAGCUAUACAUCCCAAAUGGUUCUCUGAGUUUUUGCUAAAGUACUUCAAUAGGGUCAGUUUCCUCUAACCUGAUUUGAUUUGGGGUUUUAUUUUUAUUUGGAGCAACCAAGGUGACACUAAAGGCAACAGGUACAUUAUCUAACUAAAAAGGAAAAGCAAAGGAGAGAACCAGGCAUCGCUGGGUUUAGGGUUUUUUAAUUUAAUAGAGGUGGUGUCCAUUCCUGAUAUUUACAUUUUGAGCUCACUAACGUCCUUCUUUUGCCCCUCCAUCUGCAGGUCACCACAGGAAUAUGUAAAGAGGAAAUGUUUUAUUUUAACAGAAUUGGACAAAGUACAUGAAACACACUCUUGCCACUGCAUAGCAUUCCUUAAGUCACAGAACCCAGCAUCACCUUCUUCCCCUCCUUCUGUCUUCUAUUUUAUUGAAAAAAGUCCAAAGUAUAAUAUUCUUCUAGGAAGCAUAAAUUGUAUUGCUGGAAGCAAAAUCCCGUAGGACUCAUGCCACUCUGCUUUCUGAAAAGCUGCAUUCAAGUGCAUCUAGUGUUGCCUCUUUCCCGCUGGGUGUCCAAAGUGCUGUGCUCAUGGUUGUUCACACGGAGCUGUGGAUGAUGCCAAAGCAACUGGAUAUUUUUGUGUUAGGGUUUUCCUGGUGUUUUGGCUUUUACGGGCAGUCCUGGGUCUCGGGGGAAGCUGUCAGACUCCUGCCCAACCAUCCUAAUUUUGGUCCCUCUUCUUGCCUUUCAGUAUGCAUUUGUAACUCCCAUGAAUGUAAAUAAAAGUUAUGUACACGCAUGGAGAGGGAAAUAGAUGCAUUUAUCUUGGCUCAAGACAAGCAGCAUCUCCCCAAGGAGCUACUUAGGAGGUUAUUGAGAAGCCAACAGCAAAGUGUGGUGGGCUGUACCUUCCUACAUGUGUGUUACAGAAAUUACUGGCGUGUUGCUGAUGUUUAUGGUGAACAAAUAGUUUAUUUCUGGGCUAAGAAAGAUUCCAGUGUAAAUACUCAACUGGCAGCUAGCUGGAAGUUUGCCACUUGAAGUUAAAAGGCCCAUGACCAAUGGUGUCAGAUUAACAUUUCCAAGUUGGACAAUGUACAAAUGGUGUUCUUGGACUGGAAUAGAAAUAGAUGAAAGUGGUCUACUGCAGUGCAAAUAACAAACUGGCAACCAGCUGGUCAUUGGAAAGAGAACAUGCUAUGGGAAUAUGCUUUCUGCAGAAAUACUUUAUUUUGGAGAUAAGCAUUAACAAUAGGAAGAUGAGGCUCGUUUAACAAGAACCAUAUGGUCUCAUCCUGCUUUUAUUUCACUCAGUGGCAAAGCCCUGAUUGUCCUUUGUGGGUGCAGGAUGGGGAUUGCUGAUAAAUAAACAAGUACAAUAAGUUGCCUGAUCCACUGUUGCCCUUCAAAAGGUGUAAACAGUUUAUUUUUAACGUGUUGAUAUUUCAGGAGACGAUAACUGAAAGGAAACAGAAUUAAAGAUGCUUGUUGAAAAACAACUGCUUCUGACAAAAUAAGCCAAGACAAUGGUCCAUUCAAAACGAAGUUAUCAAACUGUGUGAAACCAAUACAGCAACAUUUCCAAGCUGAUAAGUGGAGGAGUAGUGGAUGGGUUCAUUCAGAAAACAAAAAGUAGUUUGGAUUUUUGUGAGGAGAAAACAGCAGCCUGUAAAAAGUAGCUUACAUGCAGAUAGGGGAAUAAGGCAGAGGCUCUGCUGAGGUUUAAGUAACUACACAAUUCUGUUGAAGUCUGUUAGCAGUAUAAUUAAAGAUAACAGAAUUUAGCAUCGCAGUUUCGCUAUAGUCGCAAAAUUGAUUUGUGCUACAGGAAAAAAAGAGUAAAGAAAAGAAAAUACAAGCCAAGGGAGUUGCAGCCUCAGUGGAAAAUCCUGUUUUGGGAACUUUUCAAGGAUGUAAAACGUUGUCUUGAAUUGUUUACUUUUAUGGGUAGGAAGUAAAUAAGAAGUAAGAGUGGAAAUGGCAUUCUUACCACAGUUGGAAGGUUGCAGUAAAACCAAUACAACUAGCAUCACAGACUCCUUUUUAAAACUGAUUUUGGUUGUGUUUUGUUGUUUUUUUGGUUUUGGGUUUGUUUGUUUUUUUUUCUUUUACAGUGGCUAAGGUUUGUUAAUUUGAUCAUGAAAAGACAGCAAGAUGGAAACUAUUCAUUAUCAAGAAAAAUCAAGAUUUGAACAUGAAAAAAUAUAGAUCCUGUAUGCAGAGGCUCACAUCUGCCUUUGGCUUCACCACAGGUGAAAUCCCUCCUAGCAGCUGGCUUAUGAAAUAAUGCGAGGGGAGGCCUUAAUGAGCUGAAAGCACCCUCAGCUGGAGAUAAAUAUAUGCAAAUGAGAUGCACAAACAAAGGAGCCCGGACAGAGAAAUAUCUGCAAUUCCAGCAAAAUGCUGCCUGCAGCUAGAAGAUGAACAGCUUUGAUAAAAUGCCAGAUCUAUUUCCCGGAGAAGAAACCGGUCGGGUUUUAUGAAAGGCUGCUCCAUGACAGGAGCCUCCUUUGAGGAAGACCAUUAUGCAUUGUUAUCAGCAUGGCGUAAUUUGACUGUUGACAAAGUAUCUGUGGCAGUGAGAAUGAAAGCAGUUAGAAGUGUGGCGGGUUGUAAUCAAGAAGAUGCUUAGCUGUGCAACGCUGCAUCUUGAGCAGAUUUGAAUCAACAUUGCCUUGAGGGGACACACACACACACACACA
Long non-coding RNA from Strigops habroptila (Kakapo), 2921 nucleotides. RefSeq lists it as uncharacterized. The transcript is spliced from 4 exons. The record is from RefSeq and is a predicted model, not a curated record. Lineage: Eukaryota; Metazoa; Chordata; Aves; Psittaciformes; Psittacidae.